This 405-nucleotide ribosomal RNA is filed under the name uncultured bacterium. Its description in RNAcentral is "bacterial SSU rRNA". It matches the Rfam family "Bacterial small subunit ribosomal RNA", at positions 987 to 1394 of the family's 1533-position model. The record is from RNAcentral.
ACAUCGGAACUUUAGUAUGCCUGGAGUGCCUUCAGGAAAUUGAGUGAGAGGUGCUGCGUGUGUGUCCUCCUCUCGUGUUGAGAAAUGUUGGGAUAACUCUCGCAACGAGCGCCCCCCCUAUCUACUGUUGCCCGCAUUAUGUUGGGCACUCUGACGAGACUGCCUGGGUUAACCCGGAGGAAGGUGGGGAUGACGUCAAGUCCUCAUGGCCCUUAUGUCUAGGGCUACACACGUAAUACAAUGGCGCGUACAAAGGGAAGCGAACUCGCAAGGGGGAGCAAAUCUCAAAAAGCGCACCUCAGUUCGGAUUGAAGUCUGCAACUCGACUUCAUGAAGUUGGAAUCGCUAGUAAUCGGAGAUCAACACGCUCCGGUGAAUACGUUCCCGGGUCUUGUACACACCGAA